GGGCGCAUCGGUCAGCGGUAGGCCUCCGGUCUCCAAAACCGGCAACCGGGGUUCGAGUCCCCGUGCGCCCGCCA
This 74-nucleotide transfer RNA is filed under the name Parcubacteria group bacterium CG_4_9_14_0_2_um_filter_41_8. Its description in RNAcentral is "tRNA-Trp". It matches the Rfam family "tRNA". Rfam says of the family: Transfer RNA (tRNA) molecules are approximately 80 nucleotides in length. Their secondary structure includes four short double-helical elements and three loops (D, anti-codon, and T loops). Further hydrogen bonds mediate the characteristic L-shaped molecular structure. tRNAs have two regions of fundamental functional importance: the anti-codon, which is responsible for specific mRNA codon recognition, and the 3' end, to which the tRNAs corresponding amino acid is attached (by aminoacyl-tRNA synthetases). tRNAs cope with the degeneracy of the genetic code in two manners: having more than one tRNA (with a specific anti-codon) for a particular amino acid; and 'wobble' base-pairing, i.e. permitting non-standard base-pairing at the 3rd anti-codon position. The record is from RNAcentral. RNAcentral also lists the same sequence under 1 other name.